GGAAGCCAAAAGAUGGGACACCCCUGCUCUACUACAUCAAUCUUUUAUUUUCUUCAUUGUUCUUAUCACUGUUUGAAAUUAUCUUAUUCGUUUAUUGUUGUUUACUAAAUGUUUCCCCCUAUUAAAGGUAAGCUGCUAGGAAGUUUAUGUAGUUCACUGCCGCAUAGUCAGAGCCAAGACCAAAUAGAAGGUAGUUAAUACGUAUUUGUUAAGUAAAUGAAUAAAUGGACAAUCUAACAAUACAGAGUAUUGAGUAGCUCCAUGGAAAGCAAAUUUAUGCCCUCAUUUUCCUUCUAUAUAGAAAUAAACCUUUUAGUGACAGUGCCACUAAAAAGAAAGAGAAAAACCCGAAACUUCCAGAACCUUUUGCCUUAUAGUACACAUACAUUCAGAUUUCCACCUUGGUUAAUAGUAAGUAGGCAAAAUUAAAUGUAUUCCUUCUUACCUCGUUCACCAAAAGAGCAAAUAGAAUGUAGCCUGAAGGAGCCUGCUGGGUACUGAAGGCUGAGAUAAUGGCCCUUUUAUAGCAGGCCCCAUGCAGGGAGGAGCCACCCUCUGUGGGAUGGUCUGAUUCAUUCCUAACCAAACCUAGAUCCACCCAUAUCUCCACCUGUAUUUCUCCAGCAACAUGUGUUUACUUCCCAGCUUCCUCACGUACUCAUCUGUACUUGUUUUAUCAAGUUCCAAAUUUAGGUUUACAUAUUGGAAAUUUUAUUGAAGGGUCCCUUUGGCUAAUACAGGUUCUUUGUGUGCAGGGCCCAUACCUACUUUUCUGUAACCCCACUUUGCCUUGACAGGUGCUUGAUAAAUAUCUAUUGAUAAAUACACUUCCUGAUCCUUGUCUCUAGAAGAGCAGGACAUAUUAAUAUGUUUAUAAGAACUUGAAAUUCAAUUUAUGAUAGGAAAACAUCACAAGCAUCUACUUAUGUGUUCUUUUUUAAUCUAUGAAUUCCAUCUUUGGGUACUGAAAGAACUUGCCAUGAGAUGAAUGCUGUCUUCUAGAAAUUAUGGUCAGUAGAGGAUAGGCAGAUUUAAUUUUAAUUUUUCAAAGCAGAGCAAGAAUGUGAACAAUUGAAUUAGAAGUGGUGAUCACUAGGAGCAUGAGUUUAUUAGGCAAGACUCAUUAGUGUAAUUUUACUUUGUUUUCAAGGUUAUUACAUUGUGGCAUCAGAGACAUGUUCCACAUACUCUUCCUUCUUAAACCAUGAAUUUUCUUUUAUUGCCACAAAUAUACAGGGGACUCCUAUCCCUGAUCUGUCUUAUGAUAUACGCACUGUUAUGUUGAGCAGAUUGCAUCUCCAUAUGGAUGUCCCGUGGUUAUCUCAAUCCAUAGUGUUGAAAACUGAACUUACAUUGUGCCUUCUACCAAAAUGUACUAUCCUCCAGAAGCCCAUAUAUUGGUAAUGAUGCCCCCACACACUGGGUGUCUCAAGCUAGACAAAGUCAUUUUCAUUUCUCUUUUUCCUUAACCCCUCAUACUCAUGUCACAUCAUAUCAAUUCUACUCAGGCUUAGAUUUUGUUAUGUAGGCCUAUUCUCUACCUCCAGUGCUAUAAUUUUAGUUCUGGACCUGACCAUCUUUCAGUUGGGUAUUGGUAAAGAAAAAAAGUGUCGUAACUAGCCUCUCUUUCUACUAUUAAGCUGGCUUGCCAUCUUAUGUCAUUUGCUGUGCUGGUUUCUUCUUGCCUGCAGAAUUCCAGACUUCUUUACCUGACAUACAAGCCCCUUUACAAUAGGCAUGAAUCUGUAUCUUUUCAAUUGUCCCUCUUAUUACCUGUAUCUCAUGGAAAAGUCACUCUAGAAUGAGCAAUAUUUCUUGGAUGAGCCCGUAUUGGUCCGCUACUGUUCAAAAUCUUUGUGUGCUAUCCUCCACUACCUUAACUUGAGAGACUGUCAACCAUAACUUCUCUUUAUCUUUUAAGAUUCUUCAAAAUUACCACCUCCUGCAUAAAGCCUUACCUGACAUCUCCAGAUUUAUCAGUGUUCCCUCACAUACUCUGUAUUUACCUCUCAAUAGCACUGGUGAUAUUUUAUAUUAAUUACUUAUUUUUAUGUGUGCCCCCGGCCCCCUGGUGCCUUGAAUCCUGUGUUUCUUCUCACCCUAGCAUUGACUGGGUCUGAGUCAUCCUUUUUGUCCUUGGGCCCUACAGCAAUGCCUGGGACAUGAUCAAAUAAGAGAUGCAAGGGUGUGCCAAUCUUGUUCAGAGUCAAAGAGAUAAAAAUAUGCCCAAGAUUUUAAAACUGUUUAAUGUCCUCAUUCUUAACCUUAUCAGACCGUUGAUUCUUUCUUUUGUGGAGUAUUGGUUAACAUCUAUAGAACACAGAUAUUCAUUUUCUCCUUUUUUCUUCUUGGGUUUAAUUUUUUUAUGCCAGUAGUUAUUGCAUUUUUGUCUCUACCGUGAUGUAAUAAUGAUAGUAAUCUAUAUUGUGUACCCAUUAUGUGAUAGGAAUGUGCUAAGAUUUUGCAUGUAUUAAUUUUAAUCAUCAGGACAAACCUUUGAAGUCAUUGUUAUUCCUCUAUUUUAGAGAUGAGGGAACUGAUACUGAUAAGGCACCCAAGGUCACCAAGCAAGUAAGUUACAGAACUAGGAUUUAAUCUGAGGUUAUUCAGACUCCAACUCCCACAUUAUUUCCACCAUGGCAUAUUGUUCUGGGUGUGAACUUUUAUCCUUUUUUUGUUAGCCUUAUUUAUAUUUUUAAUGUUUUAAACAGUGAUUUCUUUCAAAGUACCUACGUCUGGGUGAACUUAACUGUGGAAAUUAUUGCAGGAUCAGCAGAAAGACUAGACCAUGGACUAUGAGUAAGUGAAGAAGGUAGAGUCGAGAGAGUGUCAAGAAUGAGGCAAUCUUGGAUAUGACCUUCUUUGGGGCCAAAAGACCCCAAAUCUUACCGAAUUAUGUCAAUAUGGAGGGUAGUGUUUAGUGGUCUGCUCUAGGACUUUUUUCCUGACCAUGUUAUGCUCAUUGUAUUUUAUCAAUAACUUAGGUGAAAAUUUGGAUAGAUGGCAAAUAUUUUUAGGAUAGACUGAGGAUUCAAGAAGAUUUUAUCAUGUUGCACCAAUGGCUCAAAUCUGAUAAAUGAAUAUUAUUGAAAAAGUAAAAUUCUGACUCCAGUUCCAAAUUACACUUUACAAGGAUAGGGUAGAAGACAUGAGUAAAAGAAGCAGUAUUGUGACAGUGGCAGAGUGAUGCCAUAGCCAAAAAGGUAAUGUGAUAUUAGGCUGCAUUAAAAGAAACACAUUAGCUGGAACAAAAUAGGUGGUGAUGUACUUUGCUCAGCAUUUAUCAGACUAUUUCUGUAGCUCUUUGUUCAGUUCUGAUGACCAUUUUUCAAUAAGGAUGUGGACAAAUUGGUAUGUGUUCUGAGUAAAAUAGAUAGAAUGAUUGUCUAGGUGAACGGCAAACAGAACUCAGUGGGAUAGAUGGAUGGAUGGAUGGAUGGAUGGAUGGAUGGACGGAUGGAUGGAUGGAUGGGAGAUGCAAUAUCUCUUUGGCUAUAUGAGUGGCUGUUAUAUAGAAGAGGGAUUAUACUUGGACUAUAUAAUCUCAAGGCAGGUAGAACUCAGAUAAAUAUGUAGAAACUAUAAUAAACCAUGUUUUGGCUUUAUAUAAGUAAGGACUUUUUAAUAGAAUUGUCCAAACAUGCCAAUAAUUAUUUUUGGAGAUAGUGAGUUCCCUAUUAUUGCCUAGAGAAUUUUGAACUGGAUGGAAUCUUGGCAUCAGCUAGUUUAAUCUGCUUACAUUGUAGCUGAAGACUAGAAGGACCAAUGUUGUAUGGCUAGUAAAUUAAAAAGUCAAGGCCCAGGCCUCCAACUCAGGGCUUUUCACUCCAAAUCCUCUUUAUGUUGCAUCAGGUUGCAUCAAUUAAAGGGAGAUGAACAUGAGACAGGGAUAAUUUGGACGGGAUUUAGGUAGAGGAACGUUGGGUAGAUGUCUGAUAGAUGCCCUUUUCAACCUGACAGCUACUAUUCUAUGAUUGAAGUAAAUUUCUUUGCUUGACUCAGCUCAGCUCAGUUCAGAUAGUUAUUUGAUCUGUGCAGUUUAAUAACUGCAGGGGUAACAUUAUGCUGCAAACAGGAGGAUAGUUCUUGGGUUUUCAUGCCCCACUUCCUGCCAGUCUGGCUGAUCCCACUUGCAUGCUAGCUUUUUACCCUCAGAAUCUCACAGGAAUUUUCCCCCCUAAGUCUUUAAAAUUCUUGGCUGUUGAAUAGUGAACUCUGUGAUGUGGCAUGUCUUCUGUAUCUCCAGAGAGAUCUUAUUCUCCAUAUCAUUUUUGCCACAUAAUGAAAUGCUUUCAGUGGUGUUUUAGGUGUCUGUGAUCACAUAUUGCGGCUGCCAGCAUUUGCUAAGCAGUGAAGAGAACUCCCCCAAGGCAGGGGUUAUUGACAAAUAAUAAAUUACAGGAUUUCAAUUAUAAUCAUUCAAUUGGUUGUCCCUCCCUUUUCCUACCCAGUAGGCUGGAAAGGCAUUGUGUUGCCAUCUGGCCUCUGGGCUGCUGAUGUGGGUCAGGUUGUCACGAUUCAAGGAUCAGCCCUUUGAGAUGUGUGACUGAGGCUGUAGGAGUGAAGGGGAGUUGGAAUUUGUGGUUAAAUGAUUUCCUACAGGAGCUGUAGUCAUCUUUUGGGAGGUGCUGUUUGGGGUUAGAAUUUUUCCAGGUUGAAUAUUCUCUUGAAUUCCAUGCCAUAGUUGAAGCUGAUAUUCCUGCUUAGUUAGCCAUACAGUGGUGGAGCAGUAUCUGGCUAAAACACUUCCACUUGCAGCUUAUAUUUGCCAGGACAAUGGUGAUGGACAGGAAUCUUGAUCCCAAGCAAACAAAAUGUUCAAAUUACCAUUGAUGCCCUCAGAUGCUGCUUUCUUUAUAGCCAGUCUCUCUCUCUCUCUCUCUCUGUGUGUGUGUGUGUGUAUGUUGUGUGUGUGUGUGUGAUAGAGACAGAAUGACAGAGAGACAGAAAGACAAAGAGAAGGAGGUAAAGGAUGUAGAAGGAAUGAGUGUGAGUGAUAAUAAGGCUUUUCCAGAUAAAAGCAAGCCAUUUUAUGCCAAUAUGGAUUGUCUUUCAGUUUUUCUAUAUGCCCAACAUUUUCAUUCUCAGGUACUCAUUAACAGUUUCUCUGAGGUUUGGAGAAGAGGAAAUCAAGAUGGCUGACAAGGUUGGAAAUUGAGAAUAGAAUUGAAUGAAGCCUAUGGCAGAGGUGUGUGUGUGUGUGUGUGUGUGUGUGUGUGUGUGUGUAGUGGGGGUACAUGUGACACACAUGUUAUUCCAGAAGAUUUUAUCAUGCAGAAGUCACUGGACACACACACACUCACACACACACACACACACACACACACUCAGAAUGUAUGUGAGAGAGAUAGAUACAGAGAAAACAAUGAUCAAAUAGGAGUUUUUUGUAUAGUGAAGAAAUAUUCUCCAGGAAGUGCUUAUAUCAAUAAAGCUAAUUUUCCCAAACUUAUGGUGCUUUAUUAAACCUCUCAGGUACAACUACAGAGAUGGCCAGAGGCAUUCUAAAGUGUGAAGGGAGGGUCAUUUAUGUAGUAACUGUGUUAUAUGAAAGUUUUCUCUAACAAUUAAGGACAAAAGUAAUAACAGAAAAAAUAACAGAUAAAACAACUGAUCAUCCCAUGUAGUUAAGGGAGAAAGCCUUCAUGACUUGACUCUUAAAUGUUUAUAAACAGAGAGAUUGUGAGAUCUUUAGGGUGGCUAUUUCAGCAAUGACUAGUAUCAGCAGUAAAGGAUGGACCAUUCACCAUUUCAUGUUCCGCAGAAACAAACAGUGAGGACUGGUGACAGAGUGAUGCAGCAUCAUGAAACUGGAAAAAAAAAUCCAGGAGCAAGCCAGAACAGAGACGUGAUAGCUAUUCAUGAUCAAGGGUGUCACCAAUAUUUUCUGUUCAGACAUGGUAACAAAGGCUAAUAAUUACAGGAGAAUGUAGAUCAGGAGGGACUGGAACUUGAAAUAAGCUUCUACUCCCCUUUCUCACCUGUUUCCUUUGUAUAUAGGGAUAUUAUAGAUAGAUAGAAUAGACAGACAGACAGGUAGACAGAUAGAUAGACAAGAAUAUAUUCCAGAGGGAAAAUUUCUUCAGGUAACUGAGGGAAAUUCAGACUAAGAGAUAGGUCACAGUAUUUAGGGAUCAUUUAUUCAUUCAAGAAACAUUUCUUGCCAGUGACUACUUGCCAGUCACCAUGCUUGUCACAGAACUGUAAAUGAAGAAGUCAUGCUCCUUGUCUGCCAAGAGUUUAUAAUCUAAUGAAGAAAGCAUACAUAUAAACAGUAUGAUAUGUGUUAUAAUAAAGGUAUUUGUAAAUACCUUUAGGAAUACCUUAGGUAUUAGUAAAUAGCUUUACUUGAGGAAGCAAGCUGUUUUUUUUUUUUUUUAGAGCGGUCAAGGGGAGGUAAUAUUUGAGCUGAACAUUAAAGGACAUUAAAAGCAUUUAUUGGAUUGUAUGGGAAAGGUCAGGGAGAGGCAGGCCUGAAAGGUCAUAUGGAAAGGGCUUGGAAGCCUUGGAAGCCUCUAAGUGAUGUAUAUAUUAUUUACAUUGGGUGGCAACUGAAGGGUUUUUAAGUGGAAAAGUGACAGGAGCAGAUUUUCAUUCAGUAAAUGUAACUACUGGAAGUAUGGAUGGUGGAUUGAGCUGGAUACAGGCAAUUUAUAUAAAAGAAGGAAGAGAUAGUAAAAUCUCAAACUAAGGCAUUGGCAGUGGGAUUGAAGAGAAGAUACAUUUUAGAAGCAGAUCUUGGUGAUGCAUUGGAGGUGGAAUGUGAGAGACGGUGAAGAACAAGAGGGAAUAGGUUAGCGGCCUGGCAAGCAGUCGGUGUUGGGCAAGUUAGGGAGGGCAACCCAAUGAAGUAGAGUCUGACGGGUGGACAGAACUCAAUGAUGCGGAAGGCAGGAAUAGCAGAUUUCAGUGGGCAGUGGGUAAUGGGGAGUUGGUAUCAACAAUAUCAUGUCACUAGGUAGCAGGACCUUAGGGCCCAUAUUUUAGGCCAGGACUUUAAUCUUGGAAGUAGGGAAGACUAAAGAACAAAGAAGAUUUCUAUCAUGACCAGGCAGAGACUUUUAUCAUAACUGAGAAAGAUCAAAAUCAGAUUAGCAGCAUAAUUGAACUGAUGCUAAUUCGUGAGCUUUAGGUAACUUCUAUUCUUAAAUUCUUCCUGCUGAAGAUCAGUACUUAUUCUGGAUGAUGGGGACCCUCACCAAGCUUCCAAUACCUGAAGACCCCUCUAUCUACUCAGCACUAACUUUUUAUCAACUUAGACUUUAUUCUGUCAUUGUAAGUCUCCUGGUUACUCAUUCUUCUUAAUUCACCACCUACACCCUGUAGAUUAGGCAGAUGUUUGAUUGAUAAUCUCCAUGACUGUUGGUAUAGCACAACACCAGACUACACCACACUCCUCUUACCCAGGUGUAGUUAGGGGAGGGCUCAGAAUAGUAUAUGUGGUUUAGCUGUAGGAGCAGAAGGGUUGCAUAAUCUAGUAGUUUGAGAACUAGAUGAGUUCAGAAGGUGAACAUCAGAACCACUCUGGAGUUGUGUUUACAUGUUAUUUACAAUUUCUGCUCAUAACAAAAGUUAAAAAAAUUAUUCAAGACCCUAAACUACCAUAUUUCCAGAAGAAUUACUGAGACCCAAGGCUCCAAAGUCCUUCAAGUGUUUAUUUAUGAGACUAAUGAUGCUCGUUUUUGUUAACCUCAUGGAUUCUCACAUCAGUGGUGACCUUGUUGAGGUAGAGGUGGACUCACACCACCAACAUUUCCACUCAUUUUAUCAGCAUUCCCUAAAGUAUGGCUUCCUCCAUUUCUUAGAGCAUUUGUUUCAAGGGAUUUAUAUUAUUUUAGGAUAUCCAGACAACUUGGAGCCAAGUCCCCACAGCUAGAUCAGACAACUUUUGGUGACAUCUCACAGUGUGGAUUAUCAAGCCAGUGUAUCAGUCUGGAGCCUAGGUUUUUUGCCUUUAGCUUUGCUCAGGAUGACUUCUGCUCUUCUGUGGCAGUACUUGAGAAGGUAAGGUAGUUUUUGUUCUCAUUUUUUGUUUCAUCAUUUUAAUCCAUAUUUCCCAGAAUCUACCUCUUUCUUUACCUCAUUCUAUCAUUUUUCUAAUCAGGCCAUUAGUUACUUACUCUUGCAACGUGUACUCUAACAGCAUUUCAUGUAUAUGCUUAAACUAAUUCAUAGAACAUGAUUACUAUUAAUAUUUGCAUUUCUUUUCACAGUAUGCAUCUAGAAAUCCUCAGCUAUUUUUUGUUUUCUUCAUGAAAUUUUUAAUUCUAGGAACUUUUCAUAUGAGAUAUGAAAAAUGGUUAAAUUCAAAUAACACCAUGUCCAUCAUAUUGGCCCCCUAAUUAGAGCCAAGAUCACAAAAUCCAUGGUAUAGUGUUGAGAGCACAAUCUCACACACCUCACAGACUUGCCUUUGACUACUGGCUCCUCCAGUUGCCAGCUCUAUGACUUUGAGCAAAUUUCUUAACCUUUCUGGGUCUGUUUCCUCAUCUAUAGAGUGAAGAUAAUAAUACCUCAUUUUCAUAGUUCUUCAGUAUAUUAAAUGAAUUAUAUGUCAAUGGUCUGGCACUUUGCCUAGCAUGAUAGCAAGGUAUCCAAUAAAUGGUAAUUAUUAGCUUUAUGUAACUAUGAAGUCUUACAGAAUUGGUAAACUCAGUAUGAGACACUCUUAUUGCAACUGAAUUUUUGCAGGUGUAUUUGUUUCCAUCAAGAGAGAAGAGCAAGAAACAUAUAACUUUUCCUUUUUCUUUUCCAAGAAUUUUUUUAAUUGAGUCCCUCUCCGUGAGAUUAUGGAGGUUUUUAAAUGUCCUUUAGGGUUCAGUGUGAUCAUCUCUAGAAGAUUGGGGAGAAGGUUUUCAUCUGUUUUAGGAAAAGAGUAGCUUUAGGAGAAUAUUGAAUGUUGAGUACAAAUACUACAAAAAAAGUAGCAAAAAUUGCUCUAGUACAUUUAUUGUUUUCCUCCAUUGUAUACAUUCCACUUUUUUUUUUUUUUUCUGGCAACAGUCCCUGAUUUUCAUUUAGGAAUCCAACUAUUGCCCAUUCUUACUCCUUGUGGUCAGGGUGAGGGGAGGAGUUUAUCUUUGACUUAUGAGGGUGAAGAAUGUUGCUUGGAUGUUAGUGGACAGGGAUGGGUGAGCAUGUGACCUGGGAUGUCUAAGGCAGAGUGAAUCUCAGGACUAUUGUGGGAACUACCAGUAAAGACAUAGCAUUCCUCCUCCACCUCUCCCCCCAACCCCUUGGCCCCUGCACCUUGAGAUUUGAACAGGGAAGAAUGUAGUCCAAGCUGCUGCAGCCAUCUCAUGACUACAUGUCAAAACUGGAGUCAACAGAGGGAAAAGCAGAGCUGAGAGAUUGAGAGACUCACCCAAUCUUGAUGAUAUACUUUGAGCCUUGAAGUGAGUACAGCCUGCUUGCCCCAUUUCAAGACUUUUCAGUUACGUGAACCAAUACAUUAUCCCUUUUAUUUAAUAAGCUUUGAGUUGUUCUAUUACUUCAAGCAGAAUUAGAACUGAUAUAAUUGCUAUUUACUUUUUGCUGUGUUCUGCAUUCAUAAUAAAUAUAAAAAACAUGGCAAGAUAACCAGGGGCAUGUUAAUGCAAGGGUGGUAAUAGAAAAAGGGGAGGAAGAGGAAUAACAAGCCCUCCCUUCAGUUCUUUCAUGUCUCCUCCUUUCCUUCGGAUUAAAGAUCAGAUCCCUGAACCAGUAUUAUCACAUUAUACUUUUCUAAGUUUUAUUUUGUUUUUAAUUGACAUCUAAUAAUUGUGCAUGUUUAUAUUUAAGUGAUGUUUCUAUACAUGUUUACAUUAUGUAAUGAUCAAAUCAGGGUAAUUAGCAUAUCAAUCACUUCAAACAUUUGUCAUUUCUUUAUGGUGAGAAUAUUCAAAAUUCUCUCUUCUAUUAAUAGCUAUUUUGAGAUAUAGUAUAUGAUAUUGUUAACUGUGGUUACCCCACUGUGCAGUAGAACAGUCAGAUAAGAGGAAUAUUAUACUUUUAAAAGGAUAAAUUCCUUUGGGGGCAAGAGCAGGGUCCUGGCUAAGUACAUGAGGCCUGCCUGAGGAAUUUCUAUGGAAACAGGAAUGUGUGUCUGUAGCCCUAGCCCUGCUCAGCAUUGGAAACUAUUUGGCAGUCUGAGCAUGGUUCCUCCUGUAAACUAAAAAUAAAUCCUAAAGCCCUCAAGUGACUGAACAGACCCUCCCCACCCCCAUCUUGGCCAAAUGGACCCUGGAUAAAUCUUAAAGACUUAGUUCCCAGCCAUGAUGGCUCAGGAAGUCAGAUAUAUCUUGUUAUAUACCCUCCCUUUUGCAGUGUUUAGACACAACUGGCCAGCAUUGAUGUGAAAAUAGAGAACGUUAAGACUGAUAGAACAGACUGUUUGUGGCACUAAGAUACCAAAUUGUAAACAGGAGGUAAGACCAUGCCAGUCAAGGGUUAAGUCACACACUUCCGCACUUAAAGAAUAAACUAUAUUCUAAAUGCCAUAAGGUUUCUAUUUUUCUUCAGCAGCUAAACAAGCACUGGCCUCCAGGUGAGCAAUAUGAAAACAAUUCGUAGCUCAUUCACUGCCAGACACUGACUCCAUCCUCCUGUUCCACAAACUAUAGCUACAGCUUUGAUUAGACAAGAGGCUAUUUCAAUAACUUUCUCUUGAUAAGAAGACCACCGACCGUGGAUGGAUUCUGGCCAGUUUACGAAGGCUGCAUACGUGAGUGCGUUUGUGUCCUGGAAAGACCUUAUAAAGCCUAAUUAUAAUAUAUUUAAAUGUUAAGUCUCCACCCCAAGGUGAACAUUGCUCAGAUGUAAUAUGUACAUUUAUUCAGUAUGUGUGCAUUAGGAGGACCACGAAUAUUCAUGGCUCCUUCUGUAAUCCAUUGAAUAUGUUUAGUCAACCCAUUCAGCAUAAAGUUCCUACCCCAAUCCCUCCUCUUUCGAAGUACAUGCCUUUGCCAGAGGCCAGGCUUCCCAGCUUGUCAGAAUUUGCCUGUCAACUUUGUGACUGUAACCCCCUAUGAGAAAUAUAGCUCUCCUUUCGAAAUUUAUAAAUUGUGUAAUUUUUAAGUUAACACCCCUCUAGAAAAUGAUUCAAUUUUCCUUGUCUUUCUUUUCCUUUGUCUUCCGAAGCCAGAAAUCCAGAAUCUGUUUGUUCUUAGGUCUCAGCCCUUUUAUUCUCUCCUAUGCUUUCACCAAGGAUGUUCUAUUGUAGCACUCAGUUAUGUGAGCUUGCAAAAUUAACCAUUCAUAGACUUUGGCCCCAGACUUUUUGCUGACUUGAGACCAUCAGCACUCAGGAUAUCAUUUUUUUUUUAAAUCCUAGGUAUAGAGAUAUGAGUUAAUCAUACUCCUUAUUUCAUGGCACAUUGUAAUUAUUGAGCUAUGCAGAUUCUUCUGUGGAAGAGUUGGUUAACUUUCAUCCCCAUUCUUUAUUCCCAGUCCUCUCCCCCUCCCUCACCAGAUAAUUAUUCUAAUGAGUUUACUGUAUAUGUCUUAACUUGUACAGGUGCUUGUAAAGUAUCUAUUGUUACUUUUAUGUUCAUAGAGUUUUACUUUUAUGUAAGUGCUAUUUUUUGUUAGAUCUCAUUCUUUUUUUUUUUUUUUUUUACCUUUUUUUCAUUUAGUAUCCAUGUUGCAGUAUGUAUGUCUAGUCCAUUGCUUCUAAUUGUGCUGUUGUUUUGCAUCUACUCAGUAUACCUCUGCACUUCCCUGGUGAUGAACACUCAAAUUGCUUCUAAUUAAUUCCUCAGCACUAAAAAUAAUGCUGUGAUGAACAUCCUCUUACAUAUGUCCAUUAUUGAUCUCUGGGAGAUAUUUUGGGGGGUCAUAAACACAGAAGUAGAAUUUCUGGGUGGUAGGCUAUGUGUAUACUUGAUAUUGACUAGAUACUGUCAGAUAACUCUCCAGAACAGCUUUACUUUCUUACCAGGAGUACAUGAGAUUUCCUGAACCCACAUCCCAGCCAACACCUAGCAAUAUCUAGUUUCCUAACUUUUUCCAGCUCAUUUCACUGUUAUUUUGAUUUUGAUUUCCCUUAUUCAUGAGUUUGAACAUCUUUAUGUAUAUUUGUAAGCCAUUUUGAUUACCCUGUUCUAUACAUUGCCUGUUCAAAUACUUUACCCAUUUUUCUGUUAAUUUUCUUUUUUACUUUAAGAAGUUCAUUUUAUGUUCUAGAUAUUAGUACAUUGUUAUUUUUAGACACUGCAAAUAAUUUCAGUGUGUCAUCUCUCUGUUAACUUUGUUCAUGGUGUCUUUCACUGAACAGAAAUCUUUAAUUAUAAUGUAAUAAAAGUCAUCACUAUUUUUGUAUUAUGUGUGCAUGUAAAGUUCUAUCUACAAUGUUCAUUCCUGUGCUGAGAUUACUAAGGUAUUUUCCCAUAUUUUCUUUUCUUUACUUUGUUGUUUUAAGCUUCACAUUUAGAUAUUUAUUUCAUUUGCAGUCUACCUUUGUAUGUGACUUUAGGUAAAGAUCCAAUUUUGUUUUUAUCUACAGCAUGAGCCAGGUUUGCAACUCCUUCUAUUAAUCUGCCCUUUUCCCAUUGAUAUAUGGUACGUACUUUACUAUAUAUUAAGUUCCCAUAUAAACAUACUUUAUUUCUAAGCUCCUUAUCAUGUUUCACUGAUCUGUUUGUCAUUGCAAUAAUAUCACAUUGUUAUUAUUACUUGACUGCGUAGUAUGUCUUAAUACUUGGAAGGGCAAGUACCCAUUCUUUGUCUUUUUCUUGAAAUGUUGACUUACCUGUUCGUGGAUCUUUAUUCUUCCAUGAAAACUUGAGGUUAUUGAACUUCUCAAGAAAUUCAACACAAAUAUUUUGAAGUAUCUGUGAUUGUGUUGAAUGUAUGGAUUAAUAUGAACUGACAUGUUUAUAAUAUUAAGUCAUCCCACCCAAGAUAUGGAAUAUCACUCCAUUUAUUCAGGUAAUCUUCUGUGUCAUUUAUUAGAUUUAAAAAAUUUCUCCAUGGAAGUAUUAUAUGUUGUCAUUAUUUUCUAGUUAUUUUACAUUUUUUGUUGCUGUUCUGAAUGAUAUCUUGUUUUUAAAUACAUUUUGUAAUUGGUUAUUGUUGGAGAGAAAAGCGCUUUUAAUUUUUGUAACUUGAUUGUUUCUGAUAAACUUGUGGAAUUAUCUUAUUAGUUGUAAUACUUUGUUGAUUAGGUGCUUUUUUCUAGCUAGAGAGUCAUAUUAUCUUACCUGCAAAUAAUGUCAUUUGUUUUCUUUUUUUUUCUACCAAUGUAUUUAUUUCUCUUUCUUUCCUUAUAGCAUUGGGCAGGGCACCCCACUAUGGUAAACACUAAUAAUGAUAUUGCUCCUGAUUUUGUUUCUGGAGGGAAUGCCUCUAAGAUUUCUUCAUUAAUUAUGAGCUAGAAGGCUGACAAGAGCCAAAUUCAUAAUAGAAAACGGAUCCUAUAUGCCGGAAAUGCUGACCAAAGCUUGGAGAUCUGCCACAUAAAAUAAUUCCAUUUGGGAGUUUUUCAUAAAAAUGCUUGGAUCUCCAUCCCAGUUAGAUCUUCUUUUUCUGUACUCUCUGAUCGUGUUAACACUUUGCCUCCUUCCAGAAGAAUAACCUAAGCUUAAGUCUCGCUCUAUUGUAUGACUUUGAUGACACAUUUCUUCUUGAUCUGACCUCUCUUUGUUUGCCUGAAUGACCUUGCUUUCCCAGUUCCCUGGAGCAGGAAUUAUUCUUUGUCUAUCUGGAUCAUGUUCUUUUGCUCCAAAGUCUCUCUGUCUAUACUUUGUGUGAGUGUAAACAUAUGCGUUCGUUUAUAUUUUACUUUAGUGACUUUUUAAAUUUGAAAGAAUGAAUGCUCCUUAAUUAUAAAAUAGUCAAGCAAUACAGAAAAUUGUAAUAGAAGACAGCAACAAAUCAUCAUGAAUUCCAUCACAUAGAAAUAAUCAAUGUUAACUUCUGGAAAACAUUAUUUCAAAUUUCUUUGUAUGCAGCUGGAUGGAGAGUUAGACGAAAUUUAUUUAACACAAUGGAAUCAUACCAUUUAUGCAAUUUUAAAUAAAAAGUUAACAAUUUUC
Molecule: long non-coding RNA, 14009 nt
Organism: Nomascus leucogenys (northern white-cheeked gibbon)
Lineage: Eukaryota; Metazoa; Chordata; Mammalia; Primates; Hylobatidae
Exons: 2
Source: RefSeq, a predicted model, not a curated record